GCAAUUUGUUACUACAUCU
RNAcentral lists this unclassified non-coding RNA (19 nucleotides) under Dictyostelium discoideum. The record is from RNAcentral. Lineage: Eukaryota; Evosea; Eumycetozoa; Dictyosteliales; Dictyosteliaceae.